RNAcentral lists this long non-coding RNA (285 nucleotides) under Prunus persica (peach). Its description in RNAcentral is "long non-coding RNA (PPER_LNC002192)". Lineage: Eukaryota; Viridiplantae; Streptophyta; Magnoliopsida; Rosales; Rosaceae. The record is from RNAcentral.
UUAGUUGUGGGCACUUUACCGACCCGACUACUUAUGAAUCGGUGGAGUAUGCAGAUCGACCUUUUGACAUGUCUCACUGAGCCGGUAUAUGCCUUGUUUACAUUUCACGUGUCAUGACGUGAGUAGAGGGUCAGAUAUGGUACAAACAGGAGUCCCCAAAGUUUCUGAUCGAGAAAGGACUUGUUGGUUGGGGACUUGCUUGUCCUUGAGCUCCGGCAUUCUGACCCGAGUGCGAGCGUCUCCCUUCGUAUGCCGAUGGUGACCGUGUAGUCCUCCAAGUCCCCG